Molecule: ribosomal RNA, 489 nt
Filed under: uncultured bacterium
Lineage: Bacteria
Description: partial 16S ribosomal RNA
Rfam family: Bacterial small subunit ribosomal RNA
Source: RNAcentral
GAUGAACGCUAGCGGCAGGCUUAAUACAUGCAAGUCGUGGGGCAGCAGGACUGUAGCAAUACAGUUGCUGGCGACCGGCAAACGGGUGCGGAACACGUACGCAACUUACCCUGAACUGGGGGAUAGCCCGGGGAAACCCGGAUUAAUACCCCGUAAUAUAAUGGAGUGGCAUCACUUUAUUAUUAAAGCUCCGGCGGUUCGGGAUGGGCGUGCGGCUGCUUAGGUAGUUGGUUGAGGUAACGGCUCACCAAGCCUACGAUCAGUAACUGGUGUGAGAGCACGACCAGUGACAGGGGCACUGGGAAACGGGCCCGACUCCUACGGGAGGCAGCAGUAAGGAAGAUUGGGCAAUGGAGGCAACUCUGACCCAGCCAUGCCGCGUGGAGGAUGAAGGCCCUCUGGGUUGUAAACUUCUGUUAUAGGGGACGAAACCUGUGUAUUCUUACGCAGUUGACGGUACCCGAGGAAUAAGCACCGGCUAACUCCGUG